UUGUUGUUAGCUCAGGUAGUUCCAGGAACAUCUAAGCCGUGGGUCGCAGGUUCGAAUCCUGCACGGCGCGCCA
Molecule: transfer RNA, 73 nt
Filed under: Salmonella enterica subsp. enterica serovar Typhimurium
Lineage: Bacteria; Pseudomonadati; Pseudomonadota; Gammaproteobacteria; Enterobacterales; Enterobacteriaceae
Also listed under: 116 other names
Description: tRNA-OTHER
Source: RNAcentral